RNAcentral lists this ribosomal RNA (800 nucleotides) under Vibrio cholerae. RNAcentral's name for it is "partial 23S ribosomal RNA". It matches the Rfam family "Bacterial large subunit ribosomal RNA", at positions 439 to 1245 of the family's 2925-position model. Lineage: Bacteria; Pseudomonadati; Pseudomonadota; Gammaproteobacteria; Vibrionales; Vibrionaceae. RNAcentral also lists the same sequence under 1 other name. The record is from RNAcentral.
UGAAUAUGGGGGGACCAUCCUCCAAGGCUAAAUACUCCUGACUGACCGAUAGUGAACCAGUACCGUGAGGGAAAGGCGAAAAGAACCCCUGUGAGGGGAGUGAAAUAGAACCUGAAACCGUGUACGUACAAGCAGUAGGAGCACCUUCGUGGUGUGACUGCGUACCUUUUGUAUAAUGGGUCAGCGACUUAUAUUCAGUGGCAAGGUUAACCGUAUAGGGGAGCCGUAGCGAAAGCGAGUCUUAACUGGGCGCUCAGUCUCUGGAUAUAGACCCGAAACCGGGUGAUCUAGCCAUGGGCAGGUUGAAGGUUGAGUAACAUCAACUGGAGGACCGAACCGACUAAUGUUGAAAAAUUAGCGGAUGACUUGUGGCUAGGGGUGAAAGGCCAAUCAAACUCGGAGAUAGCUGGUUCUCCCCGAAAGCUAUUUAGGUAGCGCCUCGGACGAAUACUACUGGGGGUAGAGCACUGUUAAGGCUAGGGGGUCAUCCCGACUUACCAACCCUUUGCAAACUCCGAAUACCAGUAAGUACUAUCCGGGAGACACACGGCGGGUGCUAACGUCCGUCGUGGAGAGGGAAACAACCCAGACCGCCAGCUAAGGUCCCAAAGUAUUGCUAAGUGGGAAACGAUGUGGGAAGGCUCAGACAGCUAGGAUGUUGGCUUAGAAGCAGCCAUCAUUUAAAGAAAGCGUAAUAGCUCACUAGUCGAGUCGGCCUGCGCGGAAGAUGUAACGGGGCUAAGCAAUACACCGAAGCUGCGGCAAUGUCUUUUAGACAUUGGGUAGGGGAGCGUUCUGUA